AGAGUUUGAUCCUGGCUCAGAUUGAACGCUGGCGGCAUGCCUAACACAUGCAAGUCGAACGGAAACGAUGGGAGCUUGCUCCCAGGCGUCGAGUGGCGGACGGGUGAGUAAUACUUAGGAAUCUACCCAGUAGCGGGGGACAACUCGAGGAAACUCGAGCUAAUACCGCAUACGCCCUACGGGGGAAAGCAGGGGAUCUUCGGACCUUGCACUAUUGGAUGAGCCUAAGUCGGAUUAGCUUGUUGGUGAGGUAAAGGCUCACCAAGGCAACGAUCCGUAGCUGGUCUGAGAGGACGAUCAGCCACACUGGGACUGAGACACGGCCCAGACUCCUACGGGAGGCAGCAGUGGGGAAUAUUGGACAAUGGGCGCAAGCCUGAUCCAGCAAUGCCGCGUGUGUGAAGAAGGCCUGCGGGUUGUAAAGCACUUUCAGUAGAGAAGAAAAGCCUACGGUUAAUACCCGUGAGUCUUGACGUUACCUACAGAAGAAGCUCCGGCUAACUCCGUGCCAGCAGCCGCGGUAAUACGGAGGGAGCGAGCGUUAAUCGGAAUUACUGGGCGUAAAGCGCGCGUAGGCGGCUUUGUAAGUCGGAUGUGAAAGCCCUGGGCUCAACCUGGGAAUGGCAUUCGAUACUGCAGAGCUAGAGUAUGGUAGAGGGAAGUGGAAUUUCCGGUGUAGCGGUGAAAUGCGUAGAUAUC
RNAcentral lists this ribosomal RNA (699 nucleotides) under uncultured bacterium. RNAcentral's name for it is "bacterial SSU rRNA". It matches the Rfam family "Bacterial small subunit ribosomal RNA", at positions 8 to 698 of the family's 1533-position model. The record is from RNAcentral.